This 506-nucleotide ribosomal RNA is filed under the name uncultured bacterium. RNAcentral describes it as "partial 16S ribosomal RNA". It matches the Rfam family "Bacterial small subunit ribosomal RNA", at positions 29 to 523 of the family's 1533-position model. The record is from RNAcentral.
AGUGAACGCUGGCGGUAGGCAUAACACAUGCAAGUCGAACGGCAGCACAGGAGAGCUUGCUCUCUGGGUGGCGAGUGGCGGACGGGUGAGGAAUACAUCGGAAUCUACUCUGUCGUGGGGGAUAACGUAGGGAAACUUACGCUAAUACCGCAUACGACCUACGGGUGAAAGCAGGGGAUCUUCGGACCUUGCGCGAUUGAAUGAGCCGAUGUCGGAUUAGCUAGUUGGCGGGGUAAAGGCCCACCAAGGCGACGAUCCGUAGCUGGUCUGAGAGGAUGGUAAGCCACACUGGAACUGAGACACGGUCCAGACUCCUACGGGAGGCAGCAGUGGGGAAUAUUGGACAAUGGGCGCAAGCCUGAUCCAGCCAUACCGCGUGGGUGAAGAAGGCCUUCGGGUUGUAAAGCCCUUUUGUUGGGAAAGAAAUCCAGCUGGCUAAUACCCGGUUGGGAUGACGGUACCCAAAGAAUAAGCACCGGCUAACUUCGUGCCAGCAGCCGCCGUAA